AUUGAACGCUGGCGGCAUGCUUUACACAUGCAAGUCGAGCGGUAACAGGCCUUCGGGUGCUGACGAGUGGCGGACGGGUGAGUAAUGCAUCGGAACGUACCCAGAGGUGGGGGAUAACGCAGCGAAAGCUGUGCUAAUACCGCAUGUGAUCUGAGGUUGAAAGCGGGGGACGGGGCAGGAAUGUUUGGCCUCGCGCCUUUGGACCCGCGGAGGUCGGGGUUGCUGGUGGGUGGGGUAAAGGCCUACCAAGGCGGCGGUCCGUAGCCGGUCUGGGAGGACGGUCAGCCACACGGGGACGGAGCCACGGCCCAUACUCCUACGGGAGGCAGCAGUGGGGAAUUGUGGACAAUGGGCGCAAGCCUUAUCCAGCAAGGCCGCGCGCGGGAAGAAGGCGUUCGGUUUGUAAACCGCUUUUGGGAGGAACGAACCGGUGUCCGCUAAUACCGGGCGCUAAUGACGGUACCGGCAGAAUAAGCACCGGCUAACUACGUG
This 492-nucleotide ribosomal RNA is filed under the name uncultured bacterium. Its description in RNAcentral is "partial 16S ribosomal RNA". It matches the Rfam family "Bacterial small subunit ribosomal RNA", at positions 28 to 507 of the family's 1533-position model. The record is from RNAcentral.